AUAAUAGAUUCAUGAGAAAGUCUUUUUUCUGGGGCAAACCUACAAGAUAAUUAUAUUAUUUGGCAGUGUAUCAUGAAGAAGUACAGCAAAAAAUUUCCAAAUAUCCACAUCACUCUGAGAUCACAACACAUUAUAGUUACAUGAAAUCUCGGUGAGCAAACAACCAUCGCUGGACCAGCCGGUGGUUCUUCACUGGACACAGAACCUACUAACACUGCUAUCUUGGACUUCUUUUCUUCCAGAACUGUGAGAAAUAAAAUCUGCCUUAGCAGGAAGCUGGAGUCAGGAGCUAGAGCCAAGAGUUGAACCUGGGUAUUCCAAUGGGUGAUGCAGGCAUCUUC
This is a long non-coding RNA of Ochotona princeps (American pika), 341 nucleotides long. RefSeq lists it as uncharacterized. The transcript has 3 exons. The record is from RefSeq and is a predicted model, not a curated record. NCBI's taxonomy places the organism in Eukaryota, Metazoa, Chordata, Mammalia, Lagomorpha, Ochotonidae.